RNAcentral lists this long non-coding RNA (855 nucleotides) under Homo sapiens (human). RNAcentral describes it as "HSALNT0069633". Lineage: Eukaryota; Metazoa; Chordata; Mammalia; Primates; Hominidae. The record is from RNAcentral.
GCCCUUUGGGAGGCUGAGGCAGGCAGAUCACCUGAGGUUGGGAGUUCGAGACCAGCCUGACCAACAUGGAGAAACCCUGUCUCUACUAAAAAUACAAAAUUAGCCGGGCAUGGUGGUGCAUGCCUGUAAUCCCAGCUAUUCGGGAGGGUGAGGCAGGAGAAUCGCAUGAACCUGGGAGGCGGAGGUUGCGGUGAGCCGAGAUCGUGCCCGGGCAGCAAGAGCAAAAGAAACUCCAUCUCAAAAAAAAAAAAAAAACAAAAAACACAAAAACAAACAAACAAAAAAUGACCAAAAAAACCAUAUUACGUACAUUACUAUAUAUAAUAUAAAUAAAAAAGAAUGAGAUAAUACAAACAAUAUUUAUUGUCUCACUGGUCUUAGUGGCUUCAUACUAUGCUUAAGGCAUGCGUAUUGGUCUCUGGAGGCACACUGCAUGCUUGGAUGAAGUUUAUUAUUAACAUUAAUAUAUAAUUUCACAGUCAAACACUUUUUGAAAAUACAUUGAAGAAAUUUUUAACUGAUUGCAUUAUUUCUAUCUUGUGAUGGGGCUGACCAAGAACUCAUACCAGGAGGAGAAGCAUCAACUCUGCCAUUUUCUUGUUUUCUUCCUGUAUUAUGCUCAACCCACCAUUUCUUUGCAGGGAUAUUUUCAGCCACUUCUCCAUUUCGUGAUGAUUAGUAUGAUUAGAACUGGACAAUAAAAUGCAUAUCCACUUAACCAGGUGCAUGUUAAUAUACUGACAGUGAACAGAUGUGUGAGGGAGCUGCAGCUGUCCCUUCCCUUCAUGGAACUUGUCCUUGAGAGCACUCUUUGCACAUUAUGUGGCAUGUGACCCUCUCACAUAACAACCAAAG